GGUGAACGCUGGCGGCGUGCCUAAUACAUGCAAGUAGAACGCUGAAGGAAGGAGCUUGCUCUUUCCGGAUGAGUUGCGAACGGGUGAGUAACGCGUAGGUAACCUGCCUGGUAGCGGGGGAUAACUAUUGGAAACGAUAGCUAAUACCGCAUAACAGUAGAUGUUGCAUGACAACUAUUUGAAAGGGGCAAUUGCUCCACUACCAGAUGGACCUGCGUUGUAUUAGCUAGUUGGUGAGGUAACGGCUCACCAAGGCGACGAUACAUAGCCGACCUGAGAGGGUGAUCGGCCACACUGGGACUGAGACACGGCCCAGACUCCUACGGGAGGCAGCAGUAGGGAAUCUUCGGCAAUGGACGGAAGUCUGACCGAGCAACGCCGCGUGAGUGAAGAAGGUUUUCGGAUCGUAAAGCUCUGUUGUAAGAGAAGAACGAGUGUGAGAGUGGAAAGUUCACACUGUGACGGUAUCUUACCAGAAAGGGACGGCUAACUACGUG
RNAcentral lists this ribosomal RNA (497 nucleotides) under uncultured bacterium. RNAcentral describes it as "partial 16S ribosomal RNA". It matches the Rfam family "Bacterial small subunit ribosomal RNA", at positions 28 to 507 of the family's 1533-position model. The record is from RNAcentral.